This is a long non-coding RNA of Columba livia (rock pigeon), 2540 nucleotides long. RefSeq lists it as uncharacterized. The record is from RefSeq and is a predicted model, not a curated record. Lineage: Eukaryota; Metazoa; Chordata; Aves; Columbiformes; Columbidae. The transcript is spliced from 8 exons.
GGCCAGCGGAGUUCUCAGUAGCGGCGCUUUAACGUUGGGGUUUUGGUGGGGGUUGUUGCAGUGGUUCCUGCCCGCUGGGUGCGGCCUCAGGGGGAGCAUCAGCUCUGUGGCCCUGGCCCUCGCCCUCAUCCCCAGCCUGGUCCUUGGCGGCCUCCCGAGGAAACCUCAAGCCCGCGGUCAGAAAAGGGACCCAAGGGAGCAGGGUCGCUGGGCCGGGCCGGGCCAGCGUCUGCUCCCCAGCACAGGUGUUGCUUCUACAGCCUGCUUGCCAGACAGGUGGUUUGCAGUGUGAGGUGUUCUGUUUGUUGGGGUCAUCUCUCUUGCCCCCUGAUAAAUGUUCUGCUAGCUCAGCUACUCCGGCUAAGUGUGUGAAAAAUCGUGUUCCUUUCUUGAAUUCCUGCAGCGUGACUGUUCUUCGAGUGAGAUGUUACCCCAGAAAAGCCUGCCUUUACUGCUUGUUUCCUCUGGGGAAUGAGUGGAGCUUCCACAGGUGUCCUUUUGUUGAUAGAAACUGUGACUUUCCGGAUCUAUUAUAUGGCAAUUACCUCCAUGUAGGAAAAUUAGCAAGGCCAUGUCUAUGAAAAUGGACCUUUUUUAAUCUCUCAACAUAUGUGCUGUGGCUGCUGUGCUCUCUCUGCUGAUGGCCGCCAGUAGUGAUACCAAGCUCUUUGUGUAUGAAUCAAUGUUCAUGCUCUGGAAGACUUGUUCUGGGGUUGCUGCUUCGACUAUUUAAGGCCAUGGAAAUGUAUCUCAAAGGACAAGCUUUCAGAAGGAGCCCAGUGCCCACAGAAGGACACUCAAACUUUUUGCCUUGUUUUUGCUGGUCAAAUCUCUUGACAAUGCUGUGGAGAGUUGAAGAACAGACAAGGAAUGUUAAAUGAGGAUGCAUUUUGACGGAGCUCCAGGAGCAGCUAGGCUUCACUGCAGAGACAGGAUCACCCUGUCUCAGAAGAGUUUGCCCCAAAGUUUGGACACUUUGCCAGGGAAACAAUGCAACAAAAGUAUGCCUGUGAAAGUCAUCUCCCCUGAAAGUAAUGGUUGUGGGUGUUUGUAACUCAUCCUUAUGAAAGGCUACAAAAUUAUGUGUGCGUUUUCACUUACCGAUCUCCCAAAUGAUCUCUCCGGAUCAUCGCCAAAAGCAGAAGAGAGACAUUUUGUGUUAAAAUAGAUCUGCAGCAAGCUAAAUCUGGUAAUUUGGCUAUGAGCCAACCACUGUAUUCUGUCAGUGUGGCAGCCUGAGGGAGCUGCCUUUUAGCUCUCCUGUAAGCAGCUGACUGCACGGUGGUGAUCUCCCCUGGAGCUGGGACACCUCUCAUGGUUACUCCUUGAAGUUGAGAGACCCUUUACCAACUGCAGAUCUUUGGGUGGCUGUCAUCUGUGAUACAGCAUUUGCACCAGCCUCCUCCAGAGGGAUCCGAGGGCCUCGUCUAGCAGCUGUAUUCUGGUGGUGAUUCUCCUUCCGUUCCAGAAAGAAAAGUGGAUCCAAGAAGUCAAAAUGUGUGACACUGAGAGUUAAACCAGAUAUUAUAGGUCAGGGAGGCCAGUCUGCUCCCAAUAAGAGUCCCAACUCUUUCUGUGUCCCUUAGUGCUCCAAACUGAGACCCUCUGGUGACAGGAAAAAGUGGAAACCAUGGCCUGCGACUGAGUAGGAGUCCAUUACACCUAUGCGUGUAUUUUUUCUGAUUGGGAAAUAAGCAAUAAAUCUCAACAUGUCAGCUUUAUAGGAGUGAAAAGUGCUUUGGCUCCCUUAUGAGCAUCAACAUGUGCAAAUCGGGCUGGUUAAAUGGAAAGAAAUACUGGUUCUUACAGUAAGCAACAACUACUUUUCCACAUACGUUUUAGAAUGGAAAUUCCAUUUUUAGAAUAGAUUUCUAAUAGCUGUUAUCUAAUUUAGAUAGUCUAAUACAUACUUAAUUUAGAGUCAUGUUAAGUGAAGUGUUGGCAUAGUGUUAGCAUACUGCAAAUGUGAAUAAAGUUAUGUUAGAGCCAGGGAAUAUCAUGCCCCAAAUUAUUGUGGAGUUAUAUGCACCACGUGUAGCUGUUUAAUGAAUAGAUAGAAAACAGGAAGAUUUUCAGAGUCUGACUUUCUGGCGCUUGCCCCGGUGUCGCCUGUUGCAGUGGCCGCUGCUUUCCCUGUUUCUGAUACACCAGGAUCCGUUCGGCAGCUUUGCAAGCGUGGGGCAGGCAGUGAGCGAGCAUUGCUGAGGCCGUGGGUGCCUGGGCGGGAGAAGCUGACCCUGCGACACCAAAGCCUGUGGGACCUCGUGAGGGUCCCCCCUGCACCACAGUGACGCUGGGACGGAGCCGUCACUUUAGGCUGUGAUCCACAGGAGGAGUUUCUUCCUGAUCCAUCCAGGAAAUAAAACACCUGUUCAUGUGUUAAAUAACGAACAGGUUUAGAUGCUUUACAAACUUGGUUUAACAUCUUCCUAAGCACAAUGAUGCUCUAACAAGUCUCCAGGGUCAGUCACAGGCUGUGUCUAAUCACUGAUUUUUCCUUCCUUUGCAUUCAGUGUAAUUAAAUGUUCUCUUAAAAACCA